GGAAUAUUGCGCAAUGGGGGAAACCCUGACGCAGCAACGCCGCGUGAGUGAGGAAGGUCUUCGGAUUGUAAAACUCUUUUGUUAGGGAAAAAUGGACCAGUAACUAAUAGCGCUGGUUUUGAUGGUACCUAAAGAAUAAGCACCGGCUAACUUCGUGCCAGCAGCCGCGGUAAUACGAAGGGUGCAAGCGUUGUUCGGAAUCAUUGGGCGUAAAGCGCGCGCAGGCGGAUCAGUAAGUCAGGUGUGAAAUCUCGAAGCUCAACUUCGAGACUGCGCCUGAAACUACUAGUCUAGAAUGUCGGAGGUGGCAGGGGAAUUUCACGUGUAGGGGUAAAAUCCGUAGAGAUGUGAAGGAACACCGGAGGCGAAGGCGCCUGCCUAGACGACUAUUGACGCUGAGGCGCGAAAGCGUGGGGAGCAAA
RNAcentral lists this ribosomal RNA (422 nucleotides) under uncultured bacterium. RNAcentral describes it as "bacterial SSU rRNA". It matches the Rfam family "Bacterial small subunit ribosomal RNA", at positions 358 to 772 of the family's 1533-position model. The record is from RNAcentral.